Molecule: small nucleolar RNA, 136 nt
Filed under: Callithrix jacchus (white-tufted-ear marmoset)
Lineage: Eukaryota; Metazoa; Chordata; Mammalia; Primates; Cebidae
Description: Small nucleolar RNA SNORA42/SNORA80 family (ENSCJAG00000051325.2)
Rfam family: Small nucleolar RNA SNORA42/SNORA80 family
About the family: The members of this family belong to the H/ACA class of snoRNAs that guide the sites of modification of uridines to pseudouridines. Human ACA42 (SNORA42) was cloned from HeLa cells by immunoprecipitation with anti-GAR1 antibody. Its is predicted to guide the pseudouridylation of residues U109 and U572 of 18S rRNA.
Source: Rfam by way of RNAcentral
GCAUGGUAAUGGAUUUAUGGGGGGGUCCUUCUCUGUGGGCCUCUCAUAGUGUACCGUGCCAGAGUAAAUGGCAGCCUCGAACCAUUGCCCAGCCCCUUACCUGUGGGCUGUGAGCACUGAAGAGGGUUGCACAGUA